GACGAACGCUGGCGGCGUGCUUAACACAUGCAAGUCGAACGAUCAAGAAGAGAAACUCGAACUUCGAUUCAAAUUUCACUCCGGAUUAGUGGCAGACGGGUGAGUACCUCUUGAGCAGCCUACCUCUUACAAAGGGAUAGCCUCUGGCAACCGUGAUUAAUACCCUCUGACACCUUCAUAAAGCAUCUUUAUAAUGUUAAGCGUCCGGCGGUAAGAGAUGGGCUGGCGUCCCAUUCGCUAGUGGGUGAGGUAACGGCCCACCAAAGCGACGAAGGGUACCCGGCAGGGGAGGGUGAACCGUCACAUUGGAGCUGGGCAACGGUCGAAACUCCUACGGGAGGGAGGAGUGGGGAAUAUUGCACAAUGGAGGGAACUCAGAUGGAGCGAGGACGGGUGAGCGAUGAAGUAAUUCGUGUAGUAAAGCUCUGUUCUAUGGGAAGAAAAGGACUGUACCAUAGGAGAAAGCCCCGGCUAAAUACGUG
This 482-nucleotide ribosomal RNA is filed under the name uncultured bacterium. RNAcentral describes it as "partial 16S ribosomal RNA". It matches the Rfam family "Bacterial small subunit ribosomal RNA", at positions 28 to 507 of the family's 1533-position model. The record is from RNAcentral.